AGGAUGAACGCUGGCGGCGUGCCUAACACAUGCAAGUCGAACGUCCUGUCUCGCAAGAGGCAGGGAGUGGCGGACGGGUGAGUACCACGUGGGUGAUCUACCGUGAGGUGAGGAAUACCGGCGAGAAAUCGCCGACAAGACCGCAUAGCCUCGGUGCAAGCCGAGGAAAGCUUUCUCGAGAGAGGGAGCGCCACACGAGGAGCCUGCGCCCGAUUAGCUAGCUGGUGGAGUAACGGUUCACCAGGGCGACGAUCGGUAGCUGGUCUGAAAGGACGAUCAGCCACACUGGGAUUGAGAACGGCCCAGACUCCUACGGGGGCAGCAGUGAGGAAUUUUCGUCAAUGGGGGCAACCCUGAACGAGCAACGCCGCGUGCAGGAAGAAGGUUUUCGGAUCGUAAACUGUCUUUUCGUCGGGGAAGAGAACGGACGGUACCCGAGGAAUCAGCCCGGCUAACUACGUGCCAGCAGCCGC
This 473-nucleotide ribosomal RNA is filed under the name uncultured bacterium. RNAcentral describes it as "SSU rRNA". It matches the Rfam family "Bacterial small subunit ribosomal RNA", at positions 26 to 518 of the family's 1533-position model. The record is from RNAcentral.